CAGAUCGAGAAGUCUUGAAUCCUAACUUCAUCGAGGCAAAUUUUCUGCAGUUAAUUAGCAAUACAUAAGCAGUGUUUUGAGUGAUAAGAAGAUAUAUCUGUAUCUGCUGUUACUUUUCUGUAUCCUAAUUACCAGCAACUGUCAUGAAAGUGGCCUACAUCAGAAGAGCUGAUUAUGAGUGAAGUUCUGUGACCCAUCUUAAUACUAUCUUUAGUAUUCUGAAAGACGGUAUACAGAAAAGAGUUACCACAACUCGUUUCUCCGUAUUUCAAAUUCUUGCGAAGGCAUUUUAAAUGAGCUAAUAGCUGAAGUUUUGAAAGCCAGAAGUGAAGUCUUGAAAUCUUCUAUAAAUUUACAUUUUGAUUACCUGUAAAAAUGUAGAACUAUUAAACUGAAUUACAUGCCUUUU
Molecule: long non-coding RNA, 409 nt
Filed under: Stegodyphus dumicola
Lineage: Eukaryota; Metazoa; Arthropoda; Arachnida; Araneae; Eresidae
Description: uncharacterized LOC118187638, transcript variant X1
Source: RNAcentral